AAAAAAAAGAGUGACUUGGGCAUGGGUUCUAAGCAUUGGAGGAGGAAGACGACACCGGACAGACAGUUUUGGCUCCUGUUUCAACUAAAGGCAAAUCUCUCCCAGGAGUUCUCGUUGCAUUGUUUUUUGUUCAUCGCAGGUAAGUUGACACAGGUGAGUAGAAUGAACAGAGGUUUAUAAAAACCGCAUAGGUUGGUCCAGAGCAAUCCCCUCCCAAUGGCAGCUUGUGGCUGAAUUGGCUGAGAGAUUUAAGUUAUCCACUUGUCUUCUCUCUGCAUUUAAAGUCUUUCAGCAAAAGCAACAAGCACCCCUAGAGAAGGACUUUUUGGUUGCUUCUAUGAGUUGUUGUGAACAGGAACUGCUACAGGAACAUGGGAAUUGUAGUACCCAUGUGGACAAUGGUUUGAAUGUGCCAUCUGAUCUCCCUCCAGCUUUCAUGAGUUAAAUCCUGCUAAGCUGUGGCAGCAUUUCUCUACUAAAUAUCCAGGCAGGAGAAAAAGCAUUAUAACUGUUGCAUAUAGUCCAUAGAAACCGUUCCUUAAAGCAUUCCUGUCCAUUAAGCAGUGAAAACAGGAGUCAUUUUCCAGUGGCUGUAAAGAUGUCUCCAAGAAAUAUGAUGCCAUUUAGAUGAACAAAUUAAUUUGUUAUAGUCAAGAAUACUUACUGUUUGUUUCACAGGCUACAAACUUGGCUGUUGGUUGUGAUAUUAUUGGCAUUUUAUAUAACUCUUUCUAUUUCUAAGGAUUUGGGUUUUGUUUCGUUUUUUGGAACCAAAAUAGAACCGUGAACUCUUUAAAUGAGUUUAACUUUCUUCUUAACCAGUCAUGUGUUUUAAAAGCCUGUCCUGUAGAACAUGUUCGUGGAAUUAUUGGACAGGAAGGGAUAUCUAAGUUUAUAAUGCAUUUAUAUGAGGUGUAGACAAGUUGGGUAAUUUAAAAUGAAUAAAGGAAGUACUUGGAAGCCUUUAGAUCAGGCAAGGCUGCAAAACAUGCUGUAUAUCUUAACGCAUAGAUGAACUAAGAAUUAUUAAGUAAAUGAAAUAAUUGGAGGGAUCAGACCUUCAGGUCUAUAAAGUCCUGCAGUUAACAAUGUGCACAGGACUUACUUUUAAAAAGAAUCUGCUAACUAUGCUCAUAACAUAAAAGGGUUGGUCCAUAAGAAAUAAAAUACAAAAUCCAUAGUUGUCUAACCUUUUAUCAGAACAUACCAAUAUAUGCUUUUGUGACUGACAGCCGUCAUUGUAGUGCACACCAAAUAAAUACGAAAGGUUGAUGGAAAUCAGAUUCUCAGAUUGCUUGAUUAUCCAGCUGAGAUUAUACCUGUACAUUUAUGCUGGAGUAAAUUAAACUUGCCCUGAAUUCAUUGUUUGAAAUGCACCACUGGCUACUGCUGGAACAGGUGCAUUUUAGAGGUAAAUAUAGGUAUUCUGGCUUGGUGAAGAUGGAUUAAUUUGGGAGGCAGGCAUGGAAAAUCCUUAGCUUGCCUAAAACCAUACAGGCUGUGUUUUCCCAUCUGAUGCAACCAAUGGAACUAUAGUUUUGAGUUCUCCCUGCGUUGUUCAGAAGCCAAGAAUUUGUUCUCUGAAUGCUUUAUGGGAGAGGCUGAUUGACGUUCUGUUGUUGCUACUUGUUCCGUUGCGACUUCGAACCCUUUCUCCCUGUAUAUUCCGAAGUGGCUGGGUGGGAAAUGGGACCUGCUGACAUCCUACUUCUUGGAUUGCUUUGCCACUCGGCUUCCUUGGAGACCCAAAUGGUGAACCUUGAGGUGAUGUAGCAGCACGACAUGGUUUGUAGAGAAAAGAAGAUACAGACCGUUCUGGGCUGCCUCAUGACCUCAAGGGCUCAGUCGAAGGGAAGUCAUCAUCAGCCCCAGGAAAGCCAAGACUCUCCCAAACCUAGCUUACCUGGCUAGGUAUGUUUCAGUAUGAAUACAUUGAGUGGGUUCUUGAAGCAUCUGCCUUAUAACUUUCCUUUUCCUUUCCCACCUCAAAAAUGAAAGAAAUAUGGGAGAUGAUUUCAGAGUCACCCAAACCGUGAGGUUCCGAGGUCUCCGCCAGCAGAACCUUCUCUGAAUCUACAAUAUUGGGAAGGAGAUAGAAUUGCAAAGACAAAAUUGAGGCCCUGCUGCCUCCGAAGGCAGGUGUUUCCAACCUUGGGAACUUUAAGACUAGCCGGCUGGGGAAUAAUUCUGGGAGUUGUAGUCCACAGGUCUUAAAAGUUGCCACGGUUGGAUACCUCUGCUCUAAGGGCAUUUAAAAGUGGCUAGCAUCCUUCCUCGAUGGUUUUAUUCCCAGCAGAAUUAAGCUCUGAAUAGAAUAGAAUAGUAUAGAACAGAACAGAACAGAACAGAACAGAACAGAAUAGAAUAGAAUAGAAUAGAAUAGAAUAGAAUAGAAUAGAAUAGAAUAGAAUAGAAUAGAAUAGAAUAGAAUAGAAUAGAAUAGAAUAACAGAGUUGGAAGGGACCUUGGAGGUCUUCUAAUCCAAUCCUCUGCUUAGGCAGGAAACCCUACACCACUUCAGGCAAAUGGCUAUCCAACAUCUCCUUAAAAACUUCCAGUGUUGGAGCAUUCACAACUUCUGGAGGCAAGUUGUUCCACUGAUUAAUUGUUCUCACUGUCAGGAAAUUUCUCCUUAGUUCUAAGUUGCUUCUCUCCUUGAUUAGUUUCCACCCACUGCUUCUUGUCCUGCCCUAAGGUGCUUUGGAGAUUAGCUUGACUCCCUCUUCUUUGGGGCAUGCUCUGGAUUGCAUGCUGCUAGCAGAAUAACCUGUUUCCUUGAAAGCACAAAUUCAAGAGAGUUACUCCCAAGUCAAAAGAGACAAGAUUUCAAUUUUUUUUCUUUUCCCCCCUCACCGGAGUCUUGCAGUGCUUGGGCGACAUCACAGCCCUCUUUGUUACUCCCAGGGAGGGCUGCAGAAACUGAAAGAUCUGUCCGCUAUGCUUUAGCAGCACGUAAAUACUGGAGUUUAGAAUGGCCUCCAGUAUUGCUUUGCUGCUGUAGUGAAGCUGGCACCUGCUCCGGGAAACUGGCUUCUUAAAGUGAUGCAAAGAACUUCGUUCGUUGUCCACUGGGUGAGAGUUUUAGGAUGGGAGUUGUGAUUCUCCCCAAAUAAACCAACAUCCCCCUUGCUAUAGUUGAGGAGAAAACAUUCCUCUUCUGGUAGGGUGAAACAAGGGCAGAAUAGCCUAACCCUAACCCUGAAGUCUUCUGCUCUGCUCUCCUGUUGGAGAAUUUAGAGAGCUGCAACUCAGUGGACUUGCAAAGACAAAUGAGGAAAUAUUCAUAGUUCAGGGUCCUUGGUGCUCUUUGAGCUUGCAGGUGUUUGAUUACCUAACGAGGUAACAUCUUCAGUGCUAGGAGGGAGUGGGCUUGGCUGUCUUUUAUUAUACCAAUACAAUCCCGCUUCCUUGUAGUACUCAUUGUCUUUACCUAGUUGGGUAAUGAAGGUCUGCAAGAAAAAACCCACCCCAAACCUCAGAGAACUCCAAGGAUCCCACAGAUAAGCCAAUUUAAAACUGCUGAUUAUGGAAAUAGAGUCUGAAUAUAGUAGUAUAUGAAUAUGGCAUAGUAGUCCCAACUACUACUAAGUGUUGUGGCCUCUAGUAAUCAGCAAGGUUGGGAAUCUCCCUGAAUCUUCUGUGGAAGAAGCCGACUGAAUGUUUCUGGUAGGCAUCAGGAGGAUGAGAGCCUCUGCACCAAAGACAAAUUCCUUGUGUGUCCAAUCACACUUGGCCCAUAAAAAAAAAUUCUGUUCUAUCUAUUCUAUGAUAGAAGCAUCAAUUGUGCAAUUUAACUGAUUGGAUUCCUGUAUCACACUAAGCAGUGGCUUAUUUAAUUAAUGCCUUUUUUGAUAAAGCAUAAUUGGAUGGAUUUAUAUACUAAUUGACGGUGUAUAAAUCAUAUAAUGGCUUGAUUGUGAUGAUUCUGGCUUUAUUCCUCCAGAGUUUAGGGAGAAAAACGAUGACAAGAUUUUCUAGUAAAAGUUAGGCGGGGUAUUCUUGGUGCAAUACCAUUUUACAAAAUGAAUAUUUGUAUUAAAUAUCUGGUGCAAAUCAACCAUUGUGUGAUUGUCCCAUAUCUCAGGCGAGAUAAUCGGAUGCUACUGUCUUUGAUUGCCCACUGAAGUUGUCUUUAAAACUGAAGGACAGGCAGAAGCUCAAGAGUUAGCCUUACACAUUGCCUAAUCCUUGUCUAUGGAAUAAGGCACAGCUUGUCUAGGUUUGCAGGACAAGCUGAACCAAGAUUGACUUCUUAUAACGAAUCCGUGCAACAUUUUAAGACGCAAAGUCUCGUUUUUUGCUUAUCCUGGUGUGUGAAUUGAGCUGCCUCCUCCUCAGAACUUCCUCUAAAAAAAGACGAGAAACAUCACCUGGAGGAUAAAUUAGACUACUACAAUUUGAAGAGGUAGAAAAAUAAAUCGGGAAUCCCGCGGUAUCUUUUCAGACUGAGGAAAAGGGUUUUUUUUAAUCAAACGGGCUAGUCUGAAAACGGCCCCCGGAUUCCUCCUAUCUUUAACGGCGUCUGGUACGAUCGGGAGAGCCGAGAAUAAAACGCUGCCGCCGCUUCUGCUUUCUGGGGAGCCCUUCGGGGGGGGCGGGGGCGGUCGAGGCUGCAGUGGUUUUGCCCCACCCAGGGUUCCCCCAGGGCUAGAAAGGGAGCCCCCGAGUGCUUCGGAAGCGGCGAAGCGCUUUUUCCCCAGGAGAGAAUUGGUCGAGGCCGGGGGUGCGGCCGGCACAAAAACGAGCGGAGCGAUGGGUAGUUCAGACAGCUGGGAGCGCAUCCCCCGGAGAGAAAUCGGGGAGGGAGCCGAGGAGCUCCCGGACUGUCCCCAAGGCUUGCCGGGCCCCGCCCGUUGGGGCUGGGUCGGUUUGCAAAGCGCGCCGGGACGGGAGAGGGAACCGAACCUGGUUAUCCCCGUACGCGGGGGGGCUACCGGCCCCGUCUCGCUUGCUGGGCUCGAGUGGAGCCCGGACGGCGCUUCCGCUUCAACACGGCCAGGCCCUUCGAGGGGCUGAAGGAAGAGGCAGAGGGCCCCCCGCUUGAGCAAGGGGUUGGACUAGAAGACCUCCAAGGUCCCUUCCAGCUCUGUGGUUCUGUUCAGUAUAGCUCUCUUCCCACCGAGAGAGGCGAAGGGCCGGGGGACUUUUCAAACUGGCCGCCGGGGUUAGAAUUUUGCCCGACGUGAAUGCCAGGAAGCCGGGCGGGAUGGAGGGCGUUCAAGCCCUUUCGGGUUCACUAAAAUAAAAUAAAAACGAAGCAGCCCCUCGAGUUUCCAAGGCUGGCCGGGGAGGCGGGAGCGUCCUUUCCUAGUGGUACCCUCGGGCCCAUGCGGCUGGGCGCUCAGCUGCGGAGAAGAGGCGUCGAUCUCUCGGCCGCUUCAGCCGGAGGGGGGGGGGUUCCUGGGAAGCGCGUGUCCGCGCCUGCCCCUCCCCGCCGUUGCGCAUCUUUUCGUUUGCCCCCACGAGUCGCUCCGUCCCGCAGAGAGGUAGGUGGUGCGCGGCGUCGGGCGGCUGGGCAGCCGGGCAGCCCAGUUCCGCUUGCAGUCCCCCGGCGCGCCCUCCGGGGAUCAGCAGGGCAGAGGGAGGCGCGCACCCCCGCCCCGGGAUGGGGUCUGGCCGCCCGAUGGCGCGGUUCGCCUGCCCGCCGCUGACUGCGAAACAAGUCGCGGUUUAGCCGGCCUUGCGCUUGUCUGCCUGCGAGGGAUCAGCUCGGGUGAAGCCUCGUCGGAGCUGCAUCGAGUCUCGCCUGCCGACGCCGCUUCACCUGGGGGGGGGAGGGGCUUGGCCGUGCCCCCCCCAGGCCUACCUCGCCGGGGGCUCGUUGGGCGGGAGGAAGGGGCGCAACGUGCCGUUCCUGGCGGAAAAGCGAGGUCGAAGCGCUGCGACAAUUGAGAAGGCGGCUGG
This is a long non-coding RNA of Ahaetulla prasina, 5904 nucleotides long. RefSeq lists it as uncharacterized. The transcript has 3 exons. The record is from RefSeq and is a predicted model, not a curated record. Lineage: Eukaryota; Metazoa; Chordata; Lepidosauria; Squamata; Colubridae.